This 860-nucleotide ribosomal RNA is filed under the name Lactiplantibacillus plantarum. Its description in RNAcentral is "bacterial SSU rRNA". It matches the Rfam family "Bacterial small subunit ribosomal RNA", at positions 34 to 860 of the family's 1533-position model. The record is from RNAcentral. Lineage: Bacteria; Bacillati; Bacillota; Bacilli; Lactobacillales; Lactobacillaceae.
CGGUUGGGGGUGCCUAUACUUGCAGUCGAACGAACUCUGGUAUUGAUUGGUGCUUGCAUCAUGAUUUACAUUUGAGUGAGUGGCGAACUGGUGAGUAACACGUGGGAAACCUGCCCAGAAGCGGGGGAUAACACCUGGAAACAGAUGCUAAUACCGCAUAACAACUUGGACCGCAUGGUCCGAGUUUGAAAGAUGGCUUCGGCUAUCACUUUUGGAUGGUCCCGCGGCGUAUUAGCUAGAUGGUGGGGUAACGGCUCACCAUGGCAAUGAUACGUAGCCGACCUGAGAGGGUAAUCGGCCACAUUGGGACUGAGACACGGCCCAAACUCCUACGGGAGGCAGCAGUAGGGAAUCUUCCACAAUGGACGAAAGUCUGAUGGAGCAACGCCGCGUGAGUGAAGAAGGGUUUCGGCUCGUAAAACUCUGUUGUUAAAGAAGAACAUAUCUGAGAGUAACUGUUCAGGUAUUGACGGUAUUUAACCAGAAAGCCACGGCUAACUACGUGCCAGCAGCCGCGGUAAUACGUAGGUGGCAAGCGUUGUCCGGAUUUAUUGGGCGUAAAGCGAGCGCAGGCGGUUUUUUAAGUCUGAUGUGAAAGCCUUCGGCUCAACCGAAGAAGUGCAUCGGAAACUGGGAAACUUGAGUGCAGAAGAGGACAGUGGAACUCCAUGUGUAGCGGUGAAAUGCGUAGAUAUAUGGAAGAACACCAGUGGCGAAGGCGGCUGUCUGGUCUGUAACUGACGCUGAGGCUCGAAAGUAUGGGUAGCAAACAGGAUUAGAUACCCUGGUAGUCCAUACCGUAAACGAUGAAUGCUAAGUGUUGGGAGGGUUUCCGCCCUUCAGUGCUGCAGCUAACGCAA